UCGAACGUAAGAUGACUGUAGGUGAAAGCUUACAUCUCUUCGGAGCAUUUUACGAGGUGCUGCAUGGUUGUCGUCAGCUCGUGCCGUGAGGUGUCGGGUUAAGUCCCAUAACGAGCGCAACCCUACCUUUAGUUGCCAUCAGGUAAUGCUGGGGACUCUAAAGGAACUGCCUACGCAAGUAGUGAGGAAGGCGGGGAGUGACGUCAAAUCAGCACGGCCCUUACGUCCAGGGCUACACACGUGCUACAAUGGCCGAUACAGAGGGCAGCUACCUGGUGACAGGAUGCAAAUCUCCAAAGUCGGUCUCAGUUCGGAUCGGAGUCUGCAACCCGACUCCGUGAAGUUGGAUUCGCUAGUAAUCGCGCAUCAGCCAUGGCGCGGUGAAUACGUUCCCGGGCCUU
Molecule: ribosomal RNA, 401 nt
Filed under: uncultured Sphingobacteriales bacterium
Lineage: Bacteria; Pseudomonadati; Bacteroidota; Sphingobacteriia; Sphingobacteriales
Description: bacterial SSU rRNA
Rfam family: Bacterial small subunit ribosomal RNA
Source: RNAcentral